This is a long non-coding RNA of Populus euphratica (Euphrates poplar), 203 nucleotides long. RefSeq lists it as uncharacterized. Lineage: Eukaryota; Viridiplantae; Streptophyta; Magnoliopsida; Malpighiales; Salicaceae. The record is from RefSeq and is a predicted model, not a curated record. The transcript is spliced from 3 exons.
CAAGCAAAGACAGUAUUAAUUUGUAAGUAUACAUUCGAAACUGAAUUUGAAUGUAUUUUCUUGCAUUCAGUUCUUGUAAUGUUAAAGUUUGUCCUUUUCAUUUUCAUUUUUUGCAAGUUAAUAUGAUCCCUCGUGAUGUUCAAGAGCAAUUGCAAGCCCAUUGGCACCAUAAGGUCAGUUUUUCGGAAAAGGCUCAGCAUAUA